CAGCUAUCGACUUCCACUACAACUCACUGAUGACACUGGCCUUGAACCACCAUUUUUCUGCCUCACUAAUGAUUCCAAUCAGUUAUUUCUCGAUCGCGCAUUUAAACUUACUUGUAUGUAAUUUUUUAAUCAAUAAUCAAUCCAGAAAAUCCCAAUUGAUCAAUUUCUUUAUUUUUUUAAUGACUCCUCUGGAAAAAUUAAGAAAUUUCUUUUUACCUAAGAGUGAUGCUUCAAGAAGAUGGUAGGCCAAGAUAAGUGGGGUCCCAUCCGUUGAUCGCUUCUGAGUGUUGAUUAUACUAUACAAAAUGGACUCCAGAAUCACAAAGGGAGUCCCUCCGACGGUAGAGACGACCAUCGGGCCUCGGUCGUGCUUUGCCCUGUCCAUCAAAAGGAGAAGUGGCUUCUGCAAAGGUGUUCUAAGAAGAAGUAACAGAAUCACAAAGACUUUUUCGAAUAGCAAACAAAACAGAGGCUGAAGCAUUUUUUUUUCCUGUAAAAAUUUUUCAUUAGGGUUGAAACAACUGAAAAUUGGUGAUGAGGCUGAAGCAUUUUUUUUUCCUGUGAAAAUUUUCAAUUAGGGUUGAAACAAUUGAAAUUUGGGGAUGUAAAUUGGGGAGAAUCCAGGAGACGUGGUGGACAAAUAAAAGAAAACGUGGCAUCAAAGGAAAAGCAUGCUAAUAUUUGUUGUGCAAAAACUCACAUUA
This 704-nucleotide long non-coding RNA is filed under the name Olea europaea subsp. europaea. Lineage: Eukaryota; Viridiplantae; Streptophyta; Magnoliopsida; Lamiales; Oleaceae. The record is from RNAcentral.